This 290-nucleotide long non-coding RNA is filed under the name Elaeis guineensis (African oil palm). RNAcentral's name for it is "long non-coding RNA (EGUI_LNC020426)". Lineage: Eukaryota; Viridiplantae; Streptophyta; Magnoliopsida; Arecales; Arecaceae. The record is from RNAcentral.
CUCCGACGGUGAUCAGAUUGCGGUGAUCGACUACCUGUAAAAGGUGAUGUGUUCUGAACACAGUACAGUAAAAAAUUUACUAUUUCAAAUUUGAAUUUCAAAUUUAAAUGCAUGUUGUUGUAUCAUAUUUAGAUCCUAGUGUAGGGUUAAUUAGUAUUAAUUAAUGAGAUUAAUUAAUAAUUUUACUGUAAAAUAGUAAUUUUGAAAAAUUUUAAAAUUAUCAUUUUGCCCCUGCAUUGAAUUUUUGCUUCAAAUGGUAUCAGAGCAUGGUUCUAGAAUAUGAUAUACAU